GGAGAUCGACGCAACCGAUGUGCAGAACCACUUCCUGGGGUGAGGACUUGCUUCGUCAUCAUCAUCAUCAUCCUCCUCCUGCUCCUCACCCGCUUUCACUUUGACAGCCCCCAUCUGAGAGUCGCACGAGUUUGGCCUUGUAGCGGGUACCGUCACAAGCGUAACCUGAUUCACGUCUCGAUUGUGUAUCCUGUCGAAAAGGUGCAGUGCCCCGCUGACAACGCGCUUUCUUUCGCGCAGGGAAGGGAGUUGCAGGCCCCGCGUUGACAUCGCAGACAGUUUCGGAUGGUACUGGAGGGCGAUGGGUGGAGAGGCGGUGACGCGAAUCCGCAGCCACGCGAGAGAUCGCGGUCUGUGAGUGGCUGGAGGCACCGAGCAUUGAAUGCGAGGUUGGGGAGCUUCAUGCGCACUACAGCUCCACUUGAAAUGAGACCAGGGGGCGUUGGGGAAGCCAUCUGAUCAUCACGAUUGUGGAACGACAUAUGGUUGCGAGCCCUACCCCCUCCCCUGCUCUCAUGAAAUAGCGCAUGCCUCCAAUCACCCUCCUAGUACGUUGGGAUCAUGCGCUUGUCGCCACACACGGCCAACCGAUACAGACAAACCCAUUGCUUCGAUCGGCGAGAAGCGCCCCUGCAAUCAUCUGGACUCAUGCAGCACCUCGCCUUUGAUGUCGACACGUGAGCCGCAGCACCACGACACCGACGGUGCUAUUGUCUCUGUGUAUGCGCGCUUGCUCAGAUCCUGAUCGUUAUCAAUGCAGCUUCUUCUUCUUCUUCUUCUUCUUCUUCUUCUGCCUCUUCUGCGAUCAGUAGAAUUGAACCUACACUGUGUUGCAUCCAGAGUUCUCACCGAUGAUGCCUCUCCUCCUGUGCUUCGCUGUGUGACUCUUUCCUUGACUGAUCAGACAACGAUCGAUGAGCCACCGCUAUCUUAACAAUCGCCAAACUGGGAACUUUCAACAUGACACGACUGUGUGUGUGUGUGUGUGAGCUUUGGGUUAUUAUGCUUUUGAUCUUCUACUUCUUCUUCAACAUUUUGAUGAUAAAUUAAGGAUUAAGACAGGCUUGCAUUGCGGGUUAU
RNAcentral lists this long non-coding RNA (1080 nucleotides) under Physcomitrium patens. RNAcentral describes it as "long non-coding RNA (PPAT_LNC006444)". Lineage: Eukaryota; Viridiplantae; Streptophyta; Bryopsida; Funariales; Funariaceae. The record is from RNAcentral.